UUGAACGCUGGCGGCAGGCUUAACACAUGCAAGUCGAACGGUAACAGAGAAUAGCUUGCUAUUUUGCUGACGAGUGGCGGACGGGUGAGUAAUGCUUGGGUAUAUGCCAAUAGGUGGGGGACAACAGUUGGAAACGACUGCUAAUACCGCAUAAUCUCUUCGGAGCAAAGCAGGGGACCUUCGGGCCUUGCGCCUAUUGAUUAGCCCAAGUGGGAUUAGCUGGUUGGUAAGGUAACGGCUUACCAAGGCGACGAUCCCUAGCUGGUCUUAGAGGAUGACCAGCCACACUGGAACUGAGACACGGUCCAGACUCCUACGGGAGGCAGCAGUGGGGAAUAUUGCACAAUGGAGGAAACUCUGAUGCAGCCAUGCCGCGUGUGUGAAGAAGGCUUUCGGGUUGUAAAGCACUUUCAGCGAGGAGGAAAGGGUAUUGCUUAAUACGUAAUAUCUGUGACGUUACUCGCAGAAGAAGCACCGGCUAACUCCGUG
RNAcentral lists this ribosomal RNA (489 nucleotides) under uncultured bacterium. RNAcentral's name for it is "bacterial SSU rRNA". It matches the Rfam family "Bacterial small subunit ribosomal RNA", at positions 30 to 507 of the family's 1533-position model. The record is from RNAcentral.